Molecule: ribosomal RNA, 207 nt
Filed under: uncultured bacterium
Lineage: Bacteria
Description: partial 16S ribosomal RNA
Rfam family: Bacterial small subunit ribosomal RNA
Source: RNAcentral
CGCGUAGGUGGUUUGUUAAGCGAGAUGUGAAAGCCCCGGGCUUAACCUGGGAAUUGCAUUCGAUACUGCUUGACUAGAGUAUGGUAGAGGGAAGUGGAGUUCCAGGUGUAGCGGUGAAAUGCGUAGAUAUCUGGAGGAACAUCAGUGGCGAAGGCGACUUCCUGGACCAAUACUGACGCUGAGGCGCGAAAGCGUGGGGAGCAAACA